UUCAUGCGCAUCUACAAUGUUGUCAAGCUUGGGUCAUCGCUCAAUCUCACAACCAAUCUCAAGAACGUCCAGAAGGAGAUAUAAAGCAAAUCUACAAGGCUCCUUCAAGAUCUGGAAUUAUCCUAUUCCCACUUGUUAUGUUUCUUACCUAUGCCAUAGAUCUCAGUUGUGUCCAAUUGUUGCUAUGCAACAACUACAUGCACUUUGAUGAUUUAUAGCAAUAAAAUUAAUAAAUACAUGAUGAGUAUAAGACGUUAAUCAUCUUAGUGUUCAUUUGUUGUCAUUUACUUGUAAAUUAUCUUUUUAACACAGUACAGACACAAACGCUCAUAUAUACGCGCGUAUACUCACCCCUAUUAACACACACACGCACAUCCUAUCUCUAUGAGCACGUCCGAGAGACUGGGCUGGCAUACAUUUUUGCAGGAAUGCCUAGUAGUGGCAGGCGUCAAAUGGCGAGUAGUGACGAGCAAGGCACCCACGGGCUCCCGCCACUGACCUCCUGUCGCUGCUAUAAUGUCAUCAGUGGCGAGCGGGCACCCACCACCGUUAGAUCUUAUCAAGUGGCGGGCGCUGGUGAGUGCCCGCCAUUGGUGCAUGUUAACACUUGCGGUGAGUUGUACCUGCCACCCGCCACUGCUACCUCUUUAGCCUGCAACUAUAGCAGCUCCUAUGCAUUACAGGAUACAAAUAACCAUAUUACGACAUACAACUAACGUUAGUGAUCANNNNNNNNNNACUAACCUCCUGUCGCUGCUAUAAUGUCAUCAGUGGCGUGCGGGCACCCACCACUGUUAGAUCUUAUCCAGUGGCGGGCGCUGCUGAGUGCCCGCCAUUGGUGCAUGUUAACACUUGCGGUGAGCUGUACCUGCCACCCGCCACUUCUACCUCUUCAGCCUGCAACCAUAGCAGCUCCUAUGCAUUGCAGGAUACAAAUAACCAUAUUACGACAUACAACUAACGUUAGUGAUCANNNNNNNNNNNNNNNNNNNNNNNNNNNNNNNNNNNNNNNNNNNNNNNNNNNNNNNNNNNNNNNNNNNNNNNNNNNNNNNNNNNNNNNNNNNNNNNNNNNNUUUACAUGUGUGGAUACAUAGACAAAACACCGUCCCUAGCAUGCCUCUAGUUGGCUAGCCAGUUGAUCAAUGAUAGUCAGUGUCUUCUGAUUAUGAACAAAGUGUUGUUGCUUGAUAACUGGAUCACGUCAUUGGGAGAAUCACGUGAUGGACUAGACCCAAACUAAUAGACGUAGCAUGUUGAUCGUGUCAUUUUAUUGCUACUGUUUUCUGCAUGUCUAGUAUUCAUUCCUAUGACCAUGAGAUCAUAUAACUUACUGACACCGGAGGAAUGCUUUGUGUGUAUCAAACGUCGCAACGUAACUGGGUGACUAUAAAGAUGCUCUACAGGUAUCUCCGAAGGUGCUAGUUGAGUUAGUAUGGAUCAAGACUGGGAUUUGUCACUCCGUGUGACGGAGAGGUAUCUCGGGGCCCACUCGNNNNNNNNNNNNNNNNNNNNNNNNNNNNNNNNNNNNNNNNNNNNNNNNNNNNNNNNNNNNNNNNNNNNNNNNNNNNNNNNNNNNNNNNNNNNNNNNNNNNNNNGCAACAUCACACACAAGCCUUGCAAGCAAUGUAACUUAGUGUAAGUUGCGGGAUCUUGUAUUACGGAACGAGUAAAGAGACUUGCCGGUAAACGAGAUUGAAAUAGGUAUGCGGAUACUGACGAUCGAAUUUCGGGCAAGUAAUAUACCGAAGGACAAAGGGAAUGACAUACGGGAUUAUACGAAUCCUUGGCACUGAGGUUCAAACGAUAAGAUCUUCGUAGAAUAUGUAGGAUCCAAUAUGGGCAUCCAGGUCCCGCUAUUGGAUAUUGACCGAGGAGUCNNNNNNNNNNNNNNNNNNNNNNNNNNNNNNNNNNNNNNNNNNNNNNNNNNNNNNNNNNNNNNNNNNNNNNNNNNNNNNNNNNNNNNNNNNNNNNNNNNNNCGGAAACGAAGAUUGAUAUAUAGGAUGACCUCAUUUGAUUACCGGAAGAUUUUCGGAGUUACCGGGAAUGUAUCGGGAAUGACGAAUGGGUUCCGGGAGUUCACCGGGGGGGCAACCCAACCCGGGGAAGCCCAUAGGCCUUGAGGGCGGCACACCAGCCCUUAGUGGGCUGGUGGGACAGCCCAAAAGAGCCCUAUGCGCCUAGGAAGAAAAUCAAAGAAAAAAGAAAAAAAAAAGAGGUGGGAAGGGAAGGAAGGACUCCCACCCACCAAACCAAGUCCAACUCGGUUUGGCGGGGGGGAGCCUUCCCCCUUGGACUCGGCCGACCCCCUUGGGGCUCCUUGAGCCCCCAGGCAAGGUCCCCUCCCUCCCACCUAUAUAUACGGAGGUUUUAGGGCUGAUUUGAGACGACUUUUCCACGGCAGCCCGACCACAUACCUCCACGGUUUUUCCUCUAGAUCGCGUUUCUGUGGAGCACGGGCGGAGCCUUGCUGAGACAAGGUCAUCACCAACCUCCGGAGCGCCGUCACGCUGCCGGAGAACUCUUCUACCUCUCCGUCUCUCUUGCUGGAUCAAGAAGGCCGAGAUCAUCGUCGAGCUGUACGUGUGCUGAACGCGGAGGUGCCGUCCGUUUGGUACUAGAUCGUGGAACUGAUCGCGGGAUUGUUCGCGGGGCGGAUCGAGGGACGUGAGGACGUUCCACUACAUCAACCGCGUUUACUAACGCUUCUGCUGUACGGUCUACAAGGGUACGUAGAUCACUCAUCCCCUCCCAUAGAUGGACAUCACCAUGAUAGGUCUUCGUGCGUGUAGGAAAAUUUUUGUUUCCCAUGCGACGCUCCCCAACAGUGGCAUCAUGAGCUAGGUUCAUGCGUAGAUGUCUUCUCGAGUAGAACACAAAAGUUUUUGUGGGCGGUGAUGUGCGUUUUGCUGCCCUCCUUAGUCUUUUCUUGAUUCCGCGGUAUUGUUGGAUCGAAGCGGCUCGGACCGACAUUACUCAUACGCUUAUGAGAGACUGGUUUCAUCACUACGAGUAACUCCGUUGCUCAAAGAUGACUGGCGGGUGCCAGUUUCUCCAACUUUAGUUGAAUCGGAUUUGACCGAGGAGGUCCUUGNNNNNNNNNNGUACGCUUACGAGAGACUGGUUUCAUCGCUACGAGUAAUUCCGUUGCUCAAAGAUGACUGGCGGGUGUCAGUUUCUCCAACUUUAGUUGAAUCGGAUUUGACCGAGGAGGUCCUUGGAUGAGGUUAAAUAGCAACUCAUAUAUCUCCGUUGUGGUGUUUGCGUAAGUAAGAUGCGAUCCUACUAGAUACCCAUGGUCACCUCGUAAAACAUGCAACAACGAAAUUAGAGGACGUCUAGCUUGUUUUUGCAGGGUAUGCUUGUGAUGUGAUAUGGCCAACGAUGUGAUGUGAUAUAUUGGAUGUAUGAGAUGAUCAUGUUGUAAUAGAUAAUAUCGACUUGCACGUCGAUGGUACGGCAACCGGCAGGAGCCAUAGGGUUGUCUUUAUAACUAACGUUUGUGCUUGCAGAUGCGUUUACUAUUUUUCUAGGAUGUAGCUUUAGUAGUNNNNNNNNNNNNNNNNNNNNNNNNNNNNNNNNNNNNNNNNNNNNNNNNNNNNNNNNNNNNNNNNNNNNNNNNNNNNNNNNNNNNNNNNNNNNNNNNNNNNAGGAUCGUAUUCCAAAUAGGUUCAAAACGCUAAUAAGGGAAGGAGCGCAUGCCUUACUAUGGUCGCUUUGGUUAUGUAGAAAUGAUUUGAUUUUCAAUAACAAAAAUGCUUCUCCUUUGCAGGUUAUUUUUUGUUGUACGCACUCGCUUCAUAUGUGGUCUACGCUACAACGAGUGGAGUACCAACCGAUGUUUAAGGCGUUAUGUACGCGGUUGGAGCAGGUGGCUAUGGAAGUUUUUACCCAACAUGGGUGGCAACAUAAUCUCUGGAUAGGUCCACCAUCCCUUCCCGCCAAGUGUUUUCGGGGGAAGAGGAAUGGGGCCACUAUAAAAGAGAGGCCCGGCCUCCAUAGCAAGGAUUCCAUCGACUCUAAGAGGUUAAGAACCCUCCUUUGUACUUGUCGUCCACCUCAAGCAAUCCAGACAAGCAGGAGUAGGGUUUUACACCACAAAGUGGCCUGAACUUGGGUAAACUGCUCGUGUGUUCUUGUUCGCCUUCCUUAGCUCGAGCUAUAGGAUAGUCACGGUGAAAUUGAGAGGUAUAACAGGGAAUGAGAGCGAGCGCACCCCGGAGGUCUGCGGAGCCCUGAUUCCGUCAGUUUCUUGGAAUUCUUGACCUGCAAAUCAAGAAUGAGGCCCUACUUAGUAAGUGGUUGUUUAAACUUCUUACUUAGGAUGGUGUUUGGCAAACCAUGUUGCAUAACAAGUAUCUAGGCCAAAAGGCGGUGUUUCAGACAUAUUGGAAACCUGACGACUCACACUUUUGGGCUGGCCUAGUGGUGCCAAAGAAACAUCUCAUUCGCUUUGGGUCUUUCACGAUAUCCAGGGGGAAGACAUGUGACUAGGCAAUGCCAGUCUCCGAGGACAAUAUCUAGCCCUGUACAACAUUGCUCAUGAUAAGAAUAAAACAAUUGCGUAGGUCCUCAGUUCAUUCCCCACUCAAUAUUUCAUUUAGGCAGGGUUUGAUUAGCCCCCGACUUAUGUCAUGGCAUAAUCUUUUAUCCCGUCUGGAUUUGAUCAAUUUGACACAAGGUCGAGAUGUGUUUCGCUGAAACCAUGCUACAUCGGGGUCUUCUACAGUAGACUCUAUGUAUCAUGUGCUCAUGCAUUCUGGGGUACUGGUGAAUAAUAACAGCAAAAUCUGGAAGUCAAAUAUUUGACUAAAAGUUAAAAUCUUCAUGUGUUAUCUUGGUAGGGGAUUUAUCCUAACCAAAGAUAACCUCGCACGAUGCAACUGGCCAGGGAGUAAGAAGUGUUGUUUUUGUACUCAUGAAGAGACAAUCAAACAUAUCUUCUUCCAAUACAAGUUUGCACGUUCUGCGUGGUCAGUCUUCCAAAUAGCGUCAAAUUUGUAUCCAUCCACAAGUAUAGCCAAUAUUUUUGGUCACUGGUUCGACGGUAUUCCAAAUAGGUUCAAAACGUUAUAAAGGUGGGAGCGUAUGCCUUACUAUGGCCGCUUUGGCUAUGUAGAGAUGAUUUCAUUUUCAAUAACAAAAAUGCUUCUCCUUUGCAGGUUAUUUCCCGUUGUACGCACUCGCUUCAUACGUGGUCUACGCUACAAUGAGUGGAGUACGAACCGCUGUUUAACGCGUUGUGUACGCGGUUGGAGCAGCUGGCUUCAGGAUGUAAGUGGGUUGUUCGCUGGACGCUCUUGGACUUGGCCACAUUGCCCAUUACAUUUUACGUGGGAUUAAGUGGUAGCCCAGUUAAUUUUUAUGCGGGACUUAUGACGUCCAUAUAUUGUCCAUAUAUUGCAACAUUCAUACUUUCUCAGAUAAAAAUACUCUAAAUCUUUCUUCAGAAAAAAAUAUACUUUCUGAGAUAAAAAUAUUGUCCAUAUACACUAACAAAAUAGACUUUCUCAGAUAAAAAUACUCCGAAUCUCUCUUCAGAUUAAUUCAACUGCCAUGUACAGAUAGCUACCUGUACAGGGCAGAUGAAUUAUACUAUAGCAAGGUGGAUAACACUAAACAAGUACUUACAACAACCUAAAAACUAGCAGCAACAAGGGUCGGGCAUAAUGACAAACAGAUAAAGAACAGGAUCAUCAGACACAACAGGUUAAAUUCACGGUCAUCAUCUGUGCAUCCAAAGUAGUGAUUAUGUUGAUAAGAGAGCCCUUGCCAUCUUUGGUGGGACGCAAGAAGGCAUAUAACUCUGCCACGAUUUCUUUUUCUAUAUCGGCAUUCAUCAAAGCUUGGCUGAAAGACUGCAGUGCAGCGAUGAGGAUAGAGGAAGUUUCUUCUGUGUCUUUGGGGACAUCAUGUUCAGUUUCUGAUUCCUCCUACUACAAAGAGGGAUUUCAGUGUAAACAAUAAAUUGAACUGUAUGCAUAGACAGAAAGCUCUGCAAGGCUACAGAUUCUAAUGAUACAACAUCAGUUUACUUAAGCUCUUACACAGGUAGUGAAGGUUAAACAUGAUACUGUUCCACAAUACCAUCUCAGUUCUCAAAGUGGUAACCAUCAGAAAGAAUGUGUAGAGGCACAAAAAUUCUAAACCUCAUAUAUGGGCAAUGCAGGACUAUAUAAUAUCAUCGUACUACUAACAAACAAUCUCCAAACGAAUUUGUAUUGGAAACUUCUGCAAUUACUGCUUUGAACUUAUCCAACCGAGAGGGGGAACUCUUAACAUACUUUGCACUCUCUCUUAUAUUAUCUAUCACACCUUUCAUCACUGUCAACCCAUCUUGGAAAAUCAAAUUUAGCACAUGGCAUGCAUAACGAAUGUGAAAUAAUUCACCUUCAAUAGGCAUCAUAUGCUUGUUGUUCAGAUUUUUUCUUAGAUAGUCAACCAUUGUGCCAUUAACAGCUGCAUUGUCUAAUGUUAUACUAAAGAGUUUGUCUUCAAUGUUCCAAUCUUGCAAACUCUUUAACAAUACAUUAAACAUUGAUAUUCCAUUAUGUGGAGUCUCUACCAUAAGAAACCUUAUGAUCUGUUUUCUCAAAGCCCACUUUGUGACAAAAUGGCAAGUUAUGCAUAGAUAUGACAAAGUUUGAUUAGACGUCCACAUAUCAGCUGUUAAAGAGACUCUGCCUCUAUAUUUCUUGAAACCUUCACGGAAUUUUAAUCUCUCUUCAUUAAACUAUUCCAUGCAAUCAUCUUUAAUAGUACCUCUAGAAACCAUGCUAAACAAGGGAUUCAAGCUUUUCACAAAGUCUCAAAAGCCACUAUACUCAACAAAAGUGAUAAUUUGUGACGCUCAUUCCAUGACGAUUCACUGAAAAAACGUCACAGUUUGUGAAAUUAAGAUGAUUCCGUGACGUUUUUUCACUGAAUCAUCAUGGAAUGUGCGUCAUAGAUUAUCACAUUUGUUGUAGUAGGCAACUCAUCCAUUACUAUCAUUCUAGCCAGCAACUUCCUAGAUGCAAUCUGAUCAAAACUCCAUUGUUGAAGCAUAGAUCAUGAGGAGAUGAAAUUGAGGACUUCAACUUGUCAACAACAAGGGACAAAUCUGACCUUGUUUCGCAAGCAGCCAAGUGCAUUUGUACACCAUUAGUACCCACGCCACGUCCAGCUGGAAACACCUCAAGACAGUGGUUGCACUGAGCUUUGACAAGUAUGUUAUGAUGAUAAAUAGGUUUGGCAUCCCUCCAAACAACAUAAGUUAAUCUUCCUGUCUUGCGGACUGUUAAUUGGCAAGCAUAAAAAUAAAGUCAACUCACAAGAACAUUUUUAAAGUUGUAACUGUAUACAAGAGUAAUUUUGGAAGAGAAUAACGAAGCCAACUCACUACGUGGUACAAAUGAAGUAGUAAGAGGAGAAGGGGAUCCUAAUAUAGAUGGUGACAUCGCGGACGACUUUCUUGAGGCUGCAACUCUUGCUAGAACCCCAAGGGAAGACCUCCAUGUGUUAGCCACCGGUGAUCCUACCAAUGGGAAUCUGGUCACUCUUUGACCAUGUGUCAUAGAUGGAGAGUCUCGACUCUAGAUAACAAAACAAAGAAAAUCAGACCCUGCUAUGAAAUUAAAGUAAGGUACAGAAGCAGAUUUGUGUUACGAAGUGAGGUUUAAUAUAUAAGCAGACCUGUAGCUCCUCUCUUGUAGCUCCUUGGAUAAAUUUCGUACGAGCAUGUUUCCUCUUCCCCUGCAGCUCCUCCUUUUGGUUUUUCCUCUUCUUAUCUUGCUUCUUCCUCUUCUCUUCCCUUUUCUCUUCCCUCUUCUCUUCCAUCCUUUUCCUUUUCGCCUUCUGCCUUUGUUUUUUCUUCUGCCUCUCUGCCCUGUAAUGCAAACGUUGGGGGUCAAAAUAGAAAUCAAAAAAUACAGUUAAUGUCACAGGAAAACACAUGAGGGCGAGGGACUUACUUCUGUUGCUCUUCAAUAGCAUUCCACACAUGUUGUUCCUGGUCCAUGGCUUCCCACUUUUCAGUUUGCUUGUCGAUUGUCAACGCCACUUGGUCGUCACCCAUGGUCACUUCAAUGAAAUUUGCAUUGAAAUGUCAUAUUAGAUGUUUCAGCAGAACAUAAGUUCCGAUUUGGUUCAUCUAACAUUCUAGGCUGGAACGAACUAAAGAUAGUCACUGAAAUGCAUCAAUUAGCAUCUGGGAAGGGUUCUGAAAUAUUUUAAUUUUUAAUUUUAUUAGAAAAUAUUUUAAGUUUGCGAUGAUCAGCAGCUGCGGCAUUAGAAUUCUUUCUCGAAACAUUUCAGACUGGUCAUUGGUUUUUCCUUUCCGGCCUCCACAAAGUGCGCUCUUAGUCUCCCGAUUCAUGGGGUGCCAGUCGAUGCCCUUCUUCCUGUUAGUGCUCAAGAUCAACCACACCAACUAAUUAUCCUAUCAGUACUGGCUGCUAUGCUAUCAGUGCUGGCUGCUAUGCUAUGCUAUCAGUAUAAGUCCAAAAAUAGAGCUCAGCAACAAACAACAGUAGUGCAAAAUUAGGGCGCGGUGGCAGAUAAGGAUUGUUUUCAUCUAGCUGCCAUCUCGAAGCGAUUAAGUAGCUGGGUUCAGAUUAAGUAGCUAGGUUCAUAUUAAAAUAUCAACAGUUCAUGCACCUGUUGUUAAAGGUUGCAAACAUUAAUACAUAUAUGUGUAAAGUGCUAGCAUGUAUGAUGAUUUCCUAACCCCCGCAAUGGCAAUGCUAUGGCUGCAUUUAAAUUAUGCAUCAAAUUAACAUCACGUAGAUUCAGAAAAGAAACUAAUCAUAAGCGUGUGACUCUACAAAAUGCAGUAAAUUAUGCAGCAAAUUAACAACACGUAGAUUCAGAAAAGAAACUAAUCAAACCCGCAGGCGCAACCAAUCAAAAUCGUUAAAGUCUAAGAGAAAGAAUGACAAGUCACUGACUGCUCUGCUCUUGUCGUGGUCGGGGACUCGUGCGCUCGUCCCUACCUUUUAACCAGAUCAUCUUGUUCUUCAGUCUCCCCUUGCUACAAAUAACAUCGCGGCAGCCAGGCCCGAGGGAUCCGCCGCCGUGGCUGGCUAGGGUUCGUCGCGGAGGAGAAGCUGGCUGUUGGGGAGGGGAGUGGAAGGUGAGGUCUGUGCAUACCUGGGAGCAGAAGAGGAGGAGGCGGGGGAGCAGGUGCCGGGAUUGGGGAAGGAGCAGCCACACAAGGCUCGGCUUUCUCCACGAUGACCCCCUUUGACGGCGAAGGAGGAGGGGGAGCCAAAGAUGGCAUCGGCAGGAUGAGGGAGAGAGAGCAGAGGAUGCAUUCCCGCAAGGCUCUGCUCGAUCCCCAGCGAUUUCCUUGGACGGCGGUGGCGGUGGCGGCGGCGCUAUGGAUCGGGAGCGGGAUGUGGUGGCACGGUGCGGUGGAGAUGGGGCGAACUAGGCCAUGGUUGCGAAAAUUAUGGACUAUCGAUGGGCUUUUCUGGGCUAUCUAUUUAUCCCAGUUAAUUUUUAUGGGUAUCCACAAAAGCCAUUUAAGAAUUAUUUUUUUAUGGAUGGCAUAUGUGGGACUAGUGGGUCCCAACGCCAUUUACAUCUGUAAGCUGGCUACGGAAGUUUUUACCCAACAUGGGUGGCAACAUAAUCUCCGGAUCGAUCCAUCAUCCCUUUCGAUAUAUGCAUAGUGUCGGUCUAUAUGACUCUACUCUCGUCGAUUUGUCGCUUUUUUCCUUUUUGUGAGACUUUACGUGUUUGGCUGUGUGCAUCGUAGUUAUGCAGAGGCCGGAUGUUACAAUGACUUGUAUCGGCUUGAUGAUAUAUUUAAAGAUAAUAAAAACACCUUUUAUCAAAAAAAAAGGAACAAAUCAAGUGUCCCCUAUCUGCGUGUUACCAAAUGACUACAUGGAUUAGAACCAUAAUACAUCAAACAAUUUUUAAUACAUGCAGGUAGUUGGCGAGUCUAGCAACAAGAAGUUUGCCGCUCUCAGGAUAAAUGACUAUUUUUUCUUCAGUAAAAGAAAAUGUCUAUCCCGGUAAAAAAAAACUGUUACAGUUCUUUGUUUUGUUUGUUAGAUUAUAAUCGUAACAAGUUAAAGUACUAGUUNNNNNNNNNNNNNNNNNNNNNNNNNNNNNNNNNNNNNNNNNNNNNNNNNNNNNNNNNNNNNNNNNNNNNNNNNNNGUAAAGAAUGACAUAUAACAUGUACAAUCAAUAUUUAUCAAACUGUAUCCCCUCAAAAAGGGAAAAACAUUGUAUGUCACAUUCUUGUGGGAUGCCAAGUCGCCGUCAAUUCAUGAUAGGAAAUAUUUUUCUUUUCAUGAAACUUUCCUUAUUUUUAAAUAUUCAUAAACAACAUUACCGGCUUUUGAAAAUGCUUUGCUCAACGUUGAGAAUUUAAAACAUUAGAAUUUCAAUUUUCUACGGUUUAUUUUAUUUUUAAAUUCUGAACUUCUAAAGUUUUGGACUUCAGAAAUUUUAGGCGUGUAAACAUGUGAUAUAUCUUAUUUAUUUUCAGAAAAUAUGCAUUGAGAGAAUAUCUAGAAAGAAACUUAUUGAGCAUAUUCCCAUGGACAUGUGUAAACGCGCGAUAUAUCUUGGUUAUUCUCUUUUUACAGAUCUUACAUCUAGGGGCCAUAUAUUUAGCAUGCACAUUUCUUUAAAUAUUAGUAUGAGAAGGAUCGCUCUAGGUUAGCAUUUUUCAAUUUAAUAUAGAUUUUACACUACUAUGAAUCAUUAGUACUUCACCACAUACAUAUAUAAUCUUUCAUUUGAAUAUGUAUCUGUUUCUAUAUUUAAAAUAUUAUUAUCCAUUAUGUAUCUGAGAUGUAUAUGUUUUAGAAAAUUAGGGAAAAUGCGCUUUUAAAUUAUGUCAAUGCUAUCCAACGUGAGUUCACUGCCAAGAUUGAUAUGUGAUGCAUGCACAUCUGUAUUUCUUUUAAUUACGAGUUUAUUUGAUAAAUGGAGAUUUCUUUUUGGAAGAGAUAACACAACAGUUUACAUACUUAUGUUAACCACAUCAACCAUAUGUUGCAUAUAUUAUAGAAAGGAGGGUAAUACUAAUUAAUAGGCACCUCAUGCAUGCGUACAUCUCCUUUUUUUAGGAUGUGAAGUGACAUUGGUAUAAUGGAUAAGUUUAUGCAAGAAUGAGUCUUUUGACCCAUAAUGCUAGACAAAUGCUGACUGAGCUCAAAACUAACAUGACUUCAUGCUCAUCAAAUCUUAGUCGCACAAUUGAUGUCAUAAGGUUAUUUUUAUUACUAAUUUUUAUGUUGUGGCGCACCAUAGGGACGUUAUCGAGAAGUUCACUAGCCAAACCAGAGACGUGGGGAAGGAAUUGUUGCGCCUCUUGUGUGACGGUAUGGGGAUCCGGGCUGACUACUUUGAGGGAGACCUUAGCGGGGGUAAUGUGAUCCUCAACAUCAACCACUAUCCAUCUUGCCCGAACCCAGACAAAGCGCUUGGACAGCCGCCCCAUUGUGACCGAAAUCUCAUCACCCUCCUACUCCCUAGCGCUGUCAAUGGCCUCGAGGUCUCCUACAAGGGGGACUGGAUUAAGGUUGACCCUGCACCUAACGCAUUUGUUGUCAACUUCGGCCAACAACUCGAGGUAAUUGAUUGUUUGAGCAUUGUUUGCUCCGAUAAACAACACCAAGCUGAUUGAUUGGCUAUUCAUGUGGAUGCAGGUUGUGACAAAUGGGUUGUUAAAGAGCAUAGAGCACCGUGCAAUGACAAACUCAGCGCUUGCACGCACAUCGGUGGCUACCUUUAUCAUGCCUACUCAAGAAUGUCUUAUUGGUCCCGCGAAGGAGUUCCUUAGCAAAGAAAACCCACCGUGCUACCGCACCACCAUGUUUCGUGACUUCAUGCGCAUCUACAAUGUUGUCAAGCUUGGGUCAUCGCUCAAUCUCACAACCAAUCUCAAGAACGUCCAGAAGGAGAUAUAAAGCAAAUCUACAGGACUCCUUCAAGAUCUCGAAUUAUCCUAUUCCCACUUGUUAUGUUUCUUACCUAUGCCAUAGAUCUCAGUUGUGUCCAAUUGUUGCUAUGCAACAACUACAUGCACUUUGAUGAUUUAUAGCAAUAAAAUUAAUAAAUACAUGAUGAGUAUAAGACGUUAAUCAUCUUAGUGUUCAUUUGUUGUCAUUUACUUGUAA
Molecule: long non-coding RNA, 12118 nt
Filed under: Hordeum vulgare
Lineage: Eukaryota; Viridiplantae; Streptophyta; Magnoliopsida; Poales; Poaceae
Description: long non-coding RNA (HVUL_LNC011111)
Source: RNAcentral